Small nuclear RNA from Cricetulus griseus (Chinese hamster), 136 nucleotides. The record is from Ensembl. NCBI's taxonomy places the organism in Eukaryota, Metazoa, Chordata, Mammalia, Rodentia, Cricetidae.
GUGCCAUAUACCCCAGCACACACAUCUGCACACACACUAGGACAGCACACAGAAUAAAACUGGAACAAUACAGAGAUGGUUAGUAUGGUUUCCGAGAAAUGGUGACAUGCAUAUUCAUAAGACACACCCUAUUUAA